This is an RNA transcript of Trachemys scripta elegans, 2089 nucleotides long. It is a transcript of the gene named protein ANTAGONIST OF LIKE HETEROCHROMATIN PROTEIN 1-like, with no coding region annotated. NCBI's taxonomy places the organism in Eukaryota, Metazoa, Chordata, Testudines, Emydidae. The transcript is spliced from 3 exons. The record is from RefSeq and is a predicted model, not a curated record.
GCUACUCAUGUUGAUUUUAGAAUACAUCAGUUGUUCACCUUCCAACAAUUCAUUCAAUUUUUUCCCGUCUUGGAUCACACAGAGGAUCCUGCCAUUUGGUUACUUCCGUAUAAGCAGAGCAGUAUUUUGUUCAAGACAUGCCUGCUGUGUUCUUCAAGCCUCAGCCUUGAUAUACAAUCAUGGGACACCACACUAGAACUCUCCAAUGGAGAACUCCAGAUGAGACAGAGCCUGGGACCCCGUCAUGGAAACAGGUUCACUAGGACAAUCUAGAUUGAACCCCACCUGCGAAGGGCAGAAUCACUUUCUUGUUUUAGGCUCUAUGACAAUGCAGUUAUCCAUUUUUCCUUCAAGUUUUAUUUGUUUUGUUCCUUAAAUGAUAAUGUUAUGUUGUGUUCUUUUGAAAAAACACUGAGCAUUUUAUUAAUUAUUUGAUGCUGGCUGUUCUGGUAUAUCCAUAUGCCAUCCACAGACAAUAAUAUGCAGCAAAAUUCUAGUUUCUGAUGUAGAAGGAUUUUGGAUUGAAAUCAAUGUCGGAGAUAUGGAUGAUUAGCAAUGAAACACAGAGACUCAUCUAUAGGCACUAGGACUACUCUGGCUCAGCUAUAAACAAUAGGACUACAUGGCUUUCAUUUUUCAUCUAAUGGACAAUGCCCAGCCUCCAUUCUGCAACUGACCAAGCGUGCCAGCAUCUGCAGUGAGAGAGGAUGGAUCCCGCACUUCUCUCCUAUGUGCUGUUAGCUGUCAUGAGGACAUCGCACAUGGCAGCACAGUUACUCACAAAGUUAACAGAGGAUGAAUCGCAGGCACCUGAGUGUGAUAUGGACAGCAGCAACUUAUCAGUGCUUUGUGCAUUCACUGAGCAGCUGCAUACGGUAGACCGUUGCUUUUGGGCUAGGGAAACAAGCACUGAUUGGUGGGAUCGCAUUGUCAUGCAGGUGUGGGAUGACGACCAGUGGGCAUAGAACUUUAGGAUGCGUAAAGCAACCUUCAUGGGGCUAUGUGCUGAGCUGUCCCCCAACCUGUGGCACAAGGACACCAGAUCAAGAGCUGCCCUUUCGGUAGAGAAGCGUGUUGCAAUCGCUGUGUGGAAGCUGGCAAAUCCAGACUGCUACUGGUCAUUUGCUAAUCAAUUUGGAGUGGGGAAGUCCACUGUUGGGGCUGUAUUAUUCCAAGUGUGCAAAGCAAAUCACAUCCUGAUGCGGAGGACCGUGAUUCUGGGAAAUGUGCAUGAAAUAGUGGAUGGCUUUGCAGAGAUGGGUUACCCUAACUGUCGCGGGGCAAUUGAUGGCACACACAUUCCAAUUUUAGCACCAGACCACCUUGCCUCUGAAUACAUCAAUAGGAAGGGAUACUUCUCCAUGGUGUUGCAGGCACUUGUGGAUCAUCAGGGGUGUUUCAUGGACAUCAACGUAGGCUGGUCUGGAAAGGUGCAUGACACACGCAUCUUCAGGAACAGUGGCCGGUACAGAAAGCUGCAGGCGGGGACUUUCUUUCCAGACCACAAGAUCACAGUUGGGGAUGUGGAAGUGCCCAUAGUAAUCCUGGGAGACCCGACUUACCCCUUACAGCCCUGGCUCAUGAAACCUUACACAGGGCACCUGGACAGCAGCAAGGAGCGUUUUGACAACAGGCUGAGCAGGUGUCGCAUGGUAGUCGAAUGUGCCUUUGGCCAUUUGAAAGCUUGCUGGAGAUGUCUCACUGGCAGGCUAGACCUUACCGAGGAUCAUAUUCCUGUGGUCAUAGCCACGUGCUGCACUUAGCAUAAUCUGUGUGAAUCUACGGGUGAAAUGUUUGCUUGGGUGUGGAGCACUGAGGCAGAGCCUUAGCUGCACAGUUUGAACAGCCAGAUGCUAGGGCUGUCAGAGGAGCCCAGAGGGCUGCUAUUAACAUCAGAGGGGCUUUGAGGAACCACUUUGACAAUGAGGGGCAGUAACACGUCUGCUUUGGAGUUUCUUCUCUGGUGCAUCCAUGUACAAUUUUGGGGCCCAAGAUCCAUGCAACACAAUGCUUUAGAAGCCUGUUUCCGAGAGUGAAUUGAUUGCUAUACGCUUUUGUAGAACACAGAAUAAAAACACGUACCAUUAAA